RNAcentral lists this ribosomal RNA (253 nucleotides) under uncultured bacterium. Its description in RNAcentral is "partial 16S ribosomal RNA". It matches the Rfam family "Bacterial small subunit ribosomal RNA", at positions 524 to 776 of the family's 1533-position model. The record is from RNAcentral.
UACGUAGGGUGCGAGCGUUAAUCGGAAUUACUGGGCGUAAAGCGUGCGCAGGCGGUUGUGCAAGACCGAUGUGAAAUCCCCGGGCUUAACCUGGGAAUGGCCGUCGAAACUGGCGAACUGGAGUGUGGCAGAGGGGGGUGGAAUUCCGCGUGUAGCAGUGAAAUGCGUAGAGAUGCGGAGGAGUACCAAUGGCGAAGGCAGCCCCCUGGGAUAAUAUUGACGCUCAUGCACGAAAGCGUGGGGAGCAAACAGG